UAAACGGCGGCCGUAACUAUAACGGUCCUAAGGUAGCGAAAUUCCUUGUCGGGUAAGUUCCGACCUGCACGAAUGGAGUAACGACUCCCCAACUGUCUCAACCAGAGACUCAGCGAAAUUGAAGUACGAGUAAAGAUGCUCGUUAGCUGCAGAAGGACGGAAAGACCCCGUGGACCUUUACUAUAGUUUGGUAUUGGUUCUUGGUCUGAGUUGUGUAGGAUAGGUGGGAGACUAGGAAGCAUUGGCGCCAGUCAGUGUGGAGUCGUCCUUGAAAUACCACCCUUCUCAUACUGGGAAUCUAACUUCGGCCCGUUAUCCGGGUCAGGGACAGUGCCAGAUGGGUAGUUUGACUGGGGCGGUCGCCUCCUAAAUGGUAACGGAGGCGCUCAAAGGUUCCCUCAGACUGGUCGGCCAUCAGUCGUUGAGUGCAAUCGCACAAGGGAGCUUGACUGCGAGACCGACAAGUCGAGCAGGUACGAAAGUAGGAGAUAGUGAUCCGGCGGUAGCGUGUGGAAGCGCCGUCGCUCAACGGAUAAAAGGUACCCCGGGGAUAACAGGCUAAUCUUCCCCAAGAGUCCAUAUCGACGGGAAGGUUUGGCACCUCGAUGUCGGCUCAUCGCAUCCUGGGGCUGAAGCAGGUCCCAAGGGUUGGGCUGUUCGCCCAUUAAAGCGGUACGCGAGCUGGGUUUAGAACGUCGUGAGACAGUUCGGUCCCUAUCCUCUGCAGCCGGAAGAGAUUUGACGAAAGCUGUCCCUAGUACGAGAGGACCGGGAUGGACGUAGCUCUCGUGUGCCAGUUGUCCCGCCAGGGGCAUGGCUGGUUAGCGACCUACGGUAGGGAUAACCGCUGAAAGCAUCUAAGCGGGAAGCCUGUUCGAAGAUGAGAUCUCUCACCGGGUUAACCGGGUAAGGCCCGUGGAAGACCACCACGUUGAUAGGCCGGAAGUGUAAGCACAGCAAUGUGUUCAGCUGACCGGUACUAAUCGGCCGAGGGCUUGGUUUCACCAUUC
RNAcentral lists this ribosomal RNA (1010 nucleotides) under Acidimicrobiaceae bacterium. RNAcentral describes it as "bacterial LSU rRNA". It matches the Rfam family "Bacterial large subunit ribosomal RNA", at positions 1924 to 2925 of the family's 2925-position model. Lineage: Bacteria; Bacillati; Actinomycetota; Acidimicrobiia; Acidimicrobiales; Acidimicrobiaceae. The record is from RNAcentral.